This 1279-nucleotide long non-coding RNA is filed under the name Anser brachyrhynchus (Pink-footed goose). RNAcentral's name for it is "lncRNA (ENSABRG00000020040.1)". Lineage: Eukaryota; Metazoa; Chordata; Aves; Anseriformes; Anatidae. The record is from RNAcentral.
AUGCCCCAACAAACUACAGAAGAUGUUAAAAUCAUACGAUUUUCAGGAACACCUAAGUGUGUUUACAAAUUCCAUGCAUAUCCACUGGAUUUCUUCAAAACAGAAAGCCAUUGUGAUGCAACACAGAAAUUACUGGAGACCCAGCAUGUGGAUGACAGCAGCAGCACAAAAGGAGCACACCACCUUAACAGCAGGCUUGGACUCGAGGUUAAGAACUUCAAGACUAGAAUCAUGAGAAGUUGGGUUUGUAACUCUCCCAUCACAGAAAUAGGAUACUAGAAGUAUGCAAUUUUUAAGGAACUUGGACUUCUCCAUUUGGAAUGUGCAUUUAAAUCGCUGAGAUUAAAGGAGCCCCCUCAGAGACUCCGUGAACAAAACUGCAGGAACCCUACUGGAAGACAAAUAGAGCUCAUUCUUGUUCUAAUAGGCAUGCUCACAAUAACAGGGCACUGCAUUAAAAUUGUUACAGAUAAAUGACACUAUGCUUAUUUUGAAUGAAUCAGGAUGAAGAACUGAAUUUCUAAAUCCUAGCUCUCCAAAUCCAGGCCAAAGCUUCUAUGAGAACACACACCUCUACAGCCAUAACAUUCUAGGCGUGCAAGAAAAAGCAUAAAUAUGCGUACUUCAGUCUAUAUUUGCUGUGAGGAUGACAGUGCAACAAGCACAAAGAGGGGGAGGAAUGAUGGCAAUGGGAUGGAAAGUCUCCUUUUUCAGCCCUCUGAUAGCUUCCCCUUGACAUACUCACCGAUACUGUUAAAAGUCUGGAAAUACAAGAACCGUGCAUUUCUAACAGUAUCUCCAAGACAAUUGUAACUGUAUCUCCAAAACUGAUUGUAAACCUCUCCAUUCUCCCUUGUUUUACAGUCAGGCUAAAUUCAGUAAGCCAAAAGAAUUAUGAGCCUUCUGCAUCUGUAGCCCACUCACUGAGACAGACGGGCACUGAAGUUAUGCUCUUUUUCCUACUUAUGUUGCAGACUAAAACCAUUCCAUUUUACACAACAACUUACUUUCUUCCUACUUAUCCUGAGAAUAUCAUAACAGUAGGUUGACACUUCAGAGACAUGAAAAACACAACUGUGCUGAGGAACUAAGGCAAAUGACAAAACCCAUGCAAUUCUCCCCCCCCUUGCCCCAGCAGCCAUUUUAACAUUUAUCUGGAAACUACAUCUUAAAAGUGGCAUCUUGUAGGCAUCAAGGUGCUCCCCAUCAGCUUGAUCAGCGACACGCAAGCUCUGUCUUGACUUGUGGGCUUUCACCUACUUGGUUUCCAAUGCCGCCA